Molecule: ribosomal RNA, 253 nt
Filed under: uncultured bacterium
Lineage: Bacteria
Description: partial 16S ribosomal RNA
Rfam family: Bacterial small subunit ribosomal RNA
Source: RNAcentral
UACGUAGGGUGCGAGCGUUGUCCGGAAUUAUUGGGCGUAAAGAGCUCGUAGGCGGUUUGUCACGUCGGAUGUGAAACCCCGGGGCUUAACUCCGGGCCUGCAUUCGAUACGGGCUGACUAGAGUUCGGCAGGGGAGACUGGAAUCCCUGGUGUAGCGGUGAAAUGCGCAGAUAUCAGGAGGAACACCGGUGGCGAAGGCGGGUCUCUGGGCCGAUACUGACGCUGAGGAGCGAAAGCGUGGGGAGCGAACAGG